Macaca mulatta (Rhesus monkey) is the source of this 1159-nucleotide non-coding RNA. Lineage: Eukaryota; Metazoa; Chordata; Mammalia; Primates; Cercopithecidae. The record is from RefSeq and is a predicted model, not a curated record.
GGAUUGUGUUCCUGAAUAUUUUGCGUUUGGAAUAACGGUCUUCUUUGCCAGGGCUGAGCCAUGCUUCCCUCUCGCCUGUCCUCUGCCUUCACCAGCUUCGUGUGCGCUUCCGGACAAGUGUUUGUGCAGGUGCUAUCACUUAUUUCCACAGCGAGAAUAUACACAGACACCACACAGAAAUGGGCAACCCCGUUAGGAGCUGUGCAGGGAGAUCUAACUCAUCCCAUGUGCCAAAUUCCUGUUGCCAUGGAAAUUAAACUAACUAAACUAACGUUGCUAUGAUCUCAUCUCUUACUGUACCACUAAAGAUCAUCCGGGUAAGAGGAAUGUGCCUCUGCAUAGCAUUCAGCUCACAUUUACAUGUCGGUUUUUCCUGAAUAUGGUUAUGUGAGAUAGAAAUCAGUAAGAUGGGGUGUAACAUACAGUAUAGGAUCGUUGUGUCUCCUAGCCUCAAACACUUCAAGAUCCUCAGAAAAUGAAGUUUAACUCUGGGGACGUGAGUUACAUAGUAACUUGUUUUGGAUACUAUCAUAUCAACACCAAAUAACUUCUUGAAUUCCUUUUUAAAUUGAAAAGCAAUUUACAAAGCACAAAAGCCCCAAUAUUAAAGAAUACAAUUCAGUCUUUUUAGCAUAUUCUAAAAGCUGCACAUCAACCACUAGUAUGUAAUUCCGGGACUUUUUCACCACAGGCCAAAGAAACCUUGAACCCAUUAAGAGUCAGCACCUGGCUCCUUCCUUCUACCAGCCCCUGGCAAUCACCAGCCAACUUCCUUUUCUCUGGAUUUGCCCAUUCUGGACACCUGUUGUGAGGAGAAUCGUACAGUGCAUGACCUUUGGUGUGACCUUCGGUGCUGACAUCUUUCACGUCUAAGGCCACACCUGCAAAUACCUCCAUCUGAAGUGGCAUCUUUUGUAAGUCAUUCUUUAUAUAAAGGCGGCCGUUAGUGGAAGAAGUGGUUCUGCAGGUUCAUAGCUCAGAGGCACCAGUGCUCUCCCAAGAGAUAACCAUAAAAUCCACAGAAGACGCACCUGUGCGCACUUCCUGUUCUCACUCAGAACAUUCCAGAAGGAACCCUGAAUCCCAAUGCCACAGCGGGACUGAAGUUUGCUCUCACCCACACAAUAAACCCAGGGAGCUCCCCCAGCCCCCACCCCGA